Delitschia confertaspora ATCC 74209 is the source of this 90-nucleotide non-coding RNA. NCBI's taxonomy places the organism in Eukaryota, Fungi, Ascomycota, Dothideomycetes, Pleosporales, Delitschiaceae. The record is from the annotation of a GenBank genome assembly.
GGUCGAUUAGCUCAGCUGGUUAGAGCGUGGUGCUAAUAGUUUCCAUACUUGUUAACGCCAAGGUCGUGGGUUCGAUCCCCACAUUGACCU